GACGAACGCUGGCGGCGUGCUUAACACAUGCAAGUCGAACGGAAAGGCCCUGCUUGCAGGGUACUCGAGUGGCGAACGGGUGAGUAACACGUGGGUGAUCUGCCCUCCACUUCGGGAUAAGCCUGGGAAACUGGGUCUAAUACCGGAUAGGAGCCAUUUUUAGUGUGAUGGUUGGAAAGUUUUUUCGGUGUAGGAUGAGCUCGCGGCCUAUCAGCUUGUUGGUGGGGUAAUGGCCUACCAAGGCGGCGACGGGUAGCCGGCCUGAGAGGGUGGACGGCCACAUUGGGACUGAGGUACGGCCCAGACUCCUACGGGAGGCAGCAGUGGGGAAUAUUGCACAAUGGGCGCAAGCCUGAUGCAGCGACGCCGCGGGGGGGAUGACGGCCUUCGGGUUGUAAACUCCUUUCGCUAGGGACGAAGCUUUUUGUGACGGUACCUAGAUAAGAAGCACCGGCUAACUACGUG
Molecule: ribosomal RNA, 465 nt
Filed under: uncultured bacterium
Lineage: Bacteria
Description: partial 16S ribosomal RNA
Rfam family: Bacterial small subunit ribosomal RNA
Source: RNAcentral